This 492-nucleotide ribosomal RNA is filed under the name uncultured bacterium. Its description in RNAcentral is "partial 16S ribosomal RNA". It matches the Rfam family "Bacterial small subunit ribosomal RNA", at positions 29 to 507 of the family's 1533-position model. The record is from RNAcentral.
AGUGAACGCUGGCGGUAGGCCUAACACAUGCAAGUCGAACGGCAGCACAGUAAGAGCUUGCUCUUACGGGUGGCGAGUGGCGGACGGGUGAGGAAUACAUCGGAAUCUACUUUUUCGUGGGGGAUAACGUAGGGAAACUUACGCUAAUACCGCAUACGCCCUACGGGUGAAAGCAGGGGAUCUUCGGACCUUGCGCGAUUGAAUGAGCCGAUGUCGGAUUAGCUAGUUGGCGGGGUAAAGGCCCACCAAGGCGACGAUCCGUAGCUGGUCUGAGAGGAUGAUCAGCCACACUGGAACUGAGACACGGUCCAGACUCCUACGGGAGGCAGCAGUGGGGAAUAUUGGACAAUGGGCGCAAGCCUGAUCCAGCCAUACCGAGUGGGUGAAGAAGGCCUUCGGGUUGUAAAGCCCUUUUGUUGGGAAAGAAAAGCAGCAGGUUAAUACCCCGCUGUUCUGACGGUACCCAAAGAAUAAGCACCGGCUAACUUCGUG